UGGGGGAUAUUGCACAAUGGGCGAAAGCCUGAUGCAGCGACGCCGCGUGGGGGAUGAAGGCCUUCGGGUUGUAAACUUCUUUUGCUCUGAACAAGGCAUGCUAAUGGGUGUGUUGAGUGUAGGGGUUGAUUAGCGCCGGCUAACUACGUGCCAGCAGCCGCGGUAAUACGUAGGGCGCGAGCGUUGUCCGGAAUUAUUGUGCGUAAAGGGCUUGUAGGUGGCUGGUUGCGUCUGUCGUGAAAGCUCAUGGCUUAACUGUGGGUUUGCGGUGGGUACGGGCUGGCUUGAGUGCAGUAGGAGAGGCUGGAAUUCCUGGUGUAGCGGUGGAAUGCGCAGAUAUCAGGUAGAAUACCGGUGGCGAAGGCGGGUCUCUGGGCUGUUACUGACACUGAGGAGCGAAAGCAUGGGGAGCGAACAGG
RNAcentral lists this ribosomal RNA (419 nucleotides) under bacterium. RNAcentral's name for it is "partial 16S ribosomal RNA". It matches the Rfam family "Bacterial small subunit ribosomal RNA", at positions 355 to 776 of the family's 1533-position model. The record is from RNAcentral.